The sequence is a ribosomal RNA, 226 nucleotides long. It matches the Rfam family "Bacterial small subunit ribosomal RNA", at positions 1 to 221 of the family's 1533-position model. The record is from Rfam.
UUUUUGGAGAGUUUGAUCCUGGCUCAGGACGAACGCUGGCGGCGUGCCUAAUACAUGCAAGUCGAGCGAACUUGAUGGGAGCUUGCUCCCUGAUAGUUAGCGGCGGACGGGUGAGUAACACGUGGGUAACCUGCCUGUAAGACUGGGAUAACUUCGGGAAACCGGGGCUAAUACCGGAUAACUUUUUUCUUCGCAUGAAGGGGAAUUGAAAGAUGGCUCCGGCUAU